Taeniopygia guttata (zebra finch) is the source of this 377-nucleotide long non-coding RNA. RefSeq lists it as uncharacterized. Lineage: Eukaryota; Metazoa; Chordata; Aves; Passeriformes; Estrildidae. The record is from RefSeq and is a predicted model, not a curated record.
ACGCCCGUACCCCUGUCCAUAGGCACCGCCUAGAGGUACCGGCUAGAGGCGCCUUGGAGGGAUUUGGGAGGUCCGGAGCUAAUUGUGAAGAGAGAUUAAUUAGGAAGAAAGCCCCGCUUUUUGAGGAAACAGCCAAGAGGGUCUCUGCUCCCCUCCAAAACCAGGGAAUGGAAGCAGAGGAGGAAGGGAACCAGCAACAUGGGGCAGUGUGGAUGUCUGCCCAGGGAGAAGACACACGUCCCCAAGGAGCAGCAAGGCACAGAGCAGGGACUCGGCAGGUGCCCCCUCCCAGAGAGCUGGGUGAGAUCCCUGGGGGCCAUCCUUGGGCUCUGCCCCCGGGGUGUGUGAGGAUGGAGGCAGCAGGAAUGAGGAGAGGA